UUCAUCGUAGAUUUGCAUGCUUUAUAUAAAAUUCGAAUUUGGAGCAUUAUUUAGUGAUUUUAGAUGAAGUUAUAUAUGCUGAACUGGGAUUUGACUUAGGAGAAAACUCGUUAAACCUACACUAUCACUUUUCGAAAGGUAACCGACUUAGUUUCAUGAGCUGUUAUUCUUUUGUAUCACCGCUGUUAAUGCGUAGUGGAUACUCAGAUUAGUGUAGGUUGAGAUUACGCUCGUGCUGACGGGCCGAGCUCGUUUUACAGUAAAGUACAGACUGUUCCGUACUGUCGGGUGUCGUCGUGGUUGACGGUGGACCCAGAUGUUUACAUCUUGUUUAGAUUGUGCCGAGGGCAUGUGAGUUUUGGUUGUUAGA
This 370-nucleotide long non-coding RNA is filed under the name Ananas comosus (pineapple). RNAcentral describes it as "long non-coding RNA (ACOM_LNC034147)". Lineage: Eukaryota; Viridiplantae; Streptophyta; Magnoliopsida; Poales; Bromeliaceae. The record is from RNAcentral.